Callithrix jacchus (white-tufted-ear marmoset) is the source of this 10439-nucleotide non-coding RNA. Lineage: Eukaryota; Metazoa; Chordata; Mammalia; Primates; Cebidae. The record is from RefSeq and is a predicted model, not a curated record.
CCUCGCUCUGGGCGUCACUGCGCGCCCCGGCUAAGCGCGCCCCGGCAACCGUGCGAGACGCGCGCGCCCGCCGCCGCGGGGGGCUCCCGCCGCCGACCCGGGACUGGCGGGGAGGGAGGCCGGCGGAGGGGACGCCGCGCCGGAGCCGCUCCUCUGGAUGGCGACAGAGACGGCCUGGCGCGCCCGCAGCCCCGGGCACCCCGGGAGGACGGCCUGGCCGGGUGAAGUUUGCGGACUCGGGCCUUCCGGGGCUCCCUCCGCCGCCGCCGAGGCCUGGAAGGCUGAGGGUGGGGGCCAGACGUCUCCUAAGCCCAGGAGAUUCGCUCCCUAGUCCCGGAUGCUCGGAUGGCCCUGCUGCUUAGAGAGGCUCUGGCUCCUGCGGGCACCUGCAGCGGCGCCACCCGGAGUUCUCCCUUCUUGCAGGUUGGCAGCUAAUGGAACUCCUGCCCGGGACUCACAAGAUCUCCAUCCGGCACAGGGGCUGGGGCCUUUGAGCACCCCAGAGCUUCUUUUGGAGCCAGAGACCCUUUUCUGAGGAGCCAGUAGAGGGCCUGCAAGUCGGAUUGAGCAACCCCGAGUAGGAGCAUCCUCCCUUCAUCUUGAGGCCUGGUCCAGGGAGAUGACUGCAGAGGUUGGGGCUCCCGACAACUUCGGGAUGGUCACGCACCCCUUGCCUGUGGAUGUGCAGGGUGGGCAUGGGACCCUGGCAUGGAGGGUCUCCCUCGAUGGGAUUCUGUGGAGCCAACCGUUGAUGCCCAGGUCUCUACCUUUACCGCUUCAUUGCUUCCACCGAAGCCUUUUAUCCUGCUAAAAAGGACGUGGCUUUUGAAGUGUGACAGCUUCCAUUUCAUCCCGUCCAUGCCGAACUCCUGCACCAGACGUGCCUUCACUCAGCCUCUAUUUCUUGAGCGCCUACUUGGGCCAGACACUGGGCCGGGGAAAGCCAACAUGACAGAGUUUCUGUCCCCUGGAAAGCGGCAGUCAGUUUGGGAAGCAGACGAGGAAACAAUUCCAGUGCAGUGUGGCUGCCGUCACGAAGGGAGGCAGUGGAGAGCGAGGAGGGAGCAUUUACCCUGAAUCAUGCCCUGGAGCACAGCAAGGUGUGUGCCGGGGAGGGCUUCCGGUGGGCUGCUGUCCACACCUUUUUUGUCCCAUCCUUAAGACAGACACACAGACAUGCACAUACAUAUGCACAUGCACACUCGCGAACACACAUGCGCACACACGUGAACACAUGCACAGACAUGUUUGAAGCGAAUGUUUCCGGAGCAGCAUUUAGCCCAGCAAUACUCUGAUGUUCUCUAUUCCAUCCUAAUCCAUCUUCGAAAUGCUGGUUGCCCACCCAAUAAUUUGGUUUACAGUCAUUUUCUGUUUUAAAAAUAUGGUUCGAAGAGAGAUGCCAUCUACCUUGACUUUGGGAGGGUACACUGGAGCCUUCCUGCCAAGGACAGGGGCCGUGGUGACAGUGGGGUGGCUGGGGAGGGUUCCUAAGCAGAGGAAAAGGGGUGCAGUGCGGUCCACGGCCUGCUGUAUGCGGGAACUCAGACACCGAGGUUUUUGCAGCCUCAACAUUAGGGCUACGGCAGGAAACCCUGGGCUAUGGGAACGUAGUGGCUGGUGCAUUGCGUGCUGAAAAUUUAAAAAAAAAAAAGGGAAUGAAAGGGGAACUCUUGGUGCUUGUGACUUGGAGUCCAGAAUGGUUAAGAGUCUGAAACCUGGUGAUGCUGGAAAAGGUGAAUUCUCCACCCUGGUUAUAAGUAGAGGGAGCCGAGGAGGUGUGGGGUCAGAGAUCAGACUGAAGAGGUGGGGCCUCCCGUGGGACGGCAACCUCGAUAUCAUUACAGAGACGCCACCCCAGGCAGCCCGAAGGCAAAGGCAGGCACCUGGUCCAGCCCCAUCCCGGCCGCGUUUCCAGAGGCCUGGAGAGAGAGAGAGAGAGACCACGAUGGAAAUUGAGGAUGGGGCUGAGCGCAGCCUGAAUUCUGUUGCUAGGGAACAGAAAGCUCCGUUCUGGAUCCCAACACGCGCUGCAGAUUGACGAUUUUUUGCUGUUGUUGAUGGGCUGUUUUUGAUUACUAGCUGGAACUGACAGGAGUUUGGAUUUCGAACCCCAAAUAAGUCUAUUAAAUAAUCACAGCAUCACCUUCCCUCCUUUCCAAAAGCACAGGGGUGGCAAUCGUUCAACCCUUGAGGGAGUCCUUGGCUCUCAACCCACACCAAGCCACCGGUCCUGGGAUGCUUCAGAGGCCUGGCCCAUGGAAGGGGUGCCCCGCACGGGGGGUGCCCAGGUUGCCUGAGGAGGACAAUAGCAAGGGGCGUCACCCAGAGAGGAGGGGUGACUGACCAGCGUGCAGACCCCGGCACGUAUUGCAGUCAGGUGGCGUCCUCGCUGCCCUCCUGGGGACAUGAGUCCACUGCUGGCUGUGUUCUGCUGUGGUCGGUGGGGGUGGGUUGUGGUUCUCUCCUCCGUCCACUCCUCUGCAGUGAGUGUGUCUUAUAUUUGCCAUUAGGUUGCAGGUGCCCAACUGACCAAGGGGUCCCCGAGAUCCUGAAUUUGGAGCUGGAUGUUUUCACAGGGUGAGAUGUCAGGAUGUCCCGCUGAUACAGUGGGAGAAAAAUGUAUUUUAUGCGAGGCCAGCACUGUCCCCUAAAGGAAGCGCACAAGCGUCCGAACGGCACGGGGAGGCUGUAGCCGGCUGCUGUGCCUGUUUGCCCCUGGAUCUGUGCCACCUUCUGAAAACAACUGCAGGCUUUCACCUUGCACACACGUAUCCCACGUGCAUUGUAUCAAGAGCUUACACUGACAGCUGGGGAGGACCCAGGUUGGCAGAGGGAGUUGAGCCAGCUUGGCAGUGGCUGGGAAAAUCCAGGUGACAGCCAGGGUGGCUAGCUUCUCAGGAGCGGCUGUGAGGACAGGGAUGGGGGGCUUGGCAGCUCUCCAGGAAGUACAGCUGAUGAGCUGUGGGGACUCUGGAGUGGUGAGCAUGGCAUAGAUGUCCCAAGAGACGCCCCAGGCUUCUGGCUGCAGAACCUAGGCAUGGCUGAGUGUAGUGGUUCACGCCCAUAAUUCUAGCACUUUGGCAGGCCAGAAUGAGAGAGUAGGCCAGGAUGUGAGGGUAACUUGAGGCCAGGAGUUCAAGACCAGCCUGGGCAACACAGCAGGACCCCAUAUCUACAAAAAAAUGAAAGUUAGACAGCAUGGUGGUGCACACCUGUAGUCCCAGCUACUCAGGAUGUUGAGGUGAGAGGAUUGCUUGAGCCCAGGGGUUCAAGGCUGCAGUGAGCUCUGAUUGUAUAACUGCAUUCUGGCCUGGGUGACAGAGGAGACCCUGUCAGGAAAGCAGGAAGGAAGGAAGGAAGGGAGGGAGGGAGGAAGGGAGGAAGGAGGGAAGGAAAAGAAGGAAGGAAAGCAGGAAGGGAGGGAGGAAGGGAAGGAAGAGAGGAAGGAAACACAGGGAUGAAUGAAGAAGGGAGGGAGGAAGGGGAGGGGAGAAAAGGGAGGGAGGGAAAGAGGAAGGGAGGCAGGCAGAACAGGGAACUAGCAGGGAUGGCCAUUGAGAUGGGCCCUGCCAGCUGCUGGGGACGGCUCUGAACCCUAGUGAGCUCAGGCAGUUCCUCAGCCAGCUUCCGUGCCACAGGAAAGACAGCACAAAAGGCCAGAAGAUGCACAUCGGGAAGUCGAGGCCCAGCAGGCACAAACUGUGUGCCUGCGAGGACAGAGCCCACCUGGCUGCUGAAUUCUCAGCCCUGAAAACAGUGCUUUGCAGAGUUGGUAAAUGGCAUGAAUGCGUUAUUUAAUGAUAAUUAUCCAUGGUGUUGAUCCCGUGUAGUAAUAACAAGCAGUAUUGAUACAUCCCAUACUACGGGCCCGGCGCCAGUCCAGGGGCUGCGUAUACUCACUCACUUCAUCUUCAUAACAGUCGACACCUGGAUUGAAGGACCUGGAACCUGGGCAUGGGGGAGAGAAGGAAAUUGCCCUGGGAUUUUUAGGCAGCCAUGGGAGCUGAGGUUGGGACCCAGGUAGUCUGCACCAGAGAACCUGCUCUGAGGACUGUGCUCACGACCUCUCAUCACCAAAUCAUGUUCAUUAAAAAAAUGCAAAGUAGAGGGCUGGGCACGGUGGUUCAUACCUAUAAUCCCAGCACUGGGAGGACGAGGCAGGCAGAUCACCCGAGGUCGGGAGUUCGAGGCCAGCCUGACCAACAUGGCGAAACCCCAUCUCUGCUAAAAAUACAAAAAAAAAUUGGCCUGGCGUGGUGGUGCACGCCUAUAAUCUCAGCUACACAGAAGGCUGAGGCAGGAGAAUCACUUGAACCUGGGAGGCACAGGUUGUGCUGAGCGGAGAUGGGGCCACUGCACUCCGGCCUGGCAACAAGAGCGAAACUCCUAUCUCAAAAAACAAAAAAAAAGCAAAAUCGAGAGACAAGCAAAAGGAGCACCGAAUGUCCCUCAGUUCUGCCACUCUGAGUUCACCAUGUUGAGCGUUUGGUUCACGUCUCCCAUAUCCUUUCUCAUGUACACAUUCAGCCGGUAAAUAUUUCGCAGACAGGUUUCCUAGGACACAGUGAAUAUCAUAUCCUUCCAGAACAUGACGUCUUCUGGCAGCCUGAAAUUCUGCGACACAUAAAUACUGCCAUUUAUUCAAUCAACGUUGAUUUUUGGACAUGGUGACCAUUUCUAGCGUUUGGGAAACACUUCAGAAAUGAACGCGCUUCUACUGAAAUCAUUUUCUAUAUUUAUGGUUAUUUACGGAAAAACAUUACAGAGCUGGGACCGUUAGGUGCAAAUAAGGGCAUCGUUUUCAGGCCUCGCUCUGUAGCGCCAAACGAAUUCCCAAAAAGAUUGAUAUUAAUUUGUACCCCUACGGACAGCACGUGGGAGGUUCCCCUGCGCCCGUCUGUUCACGCCGGCCUGGGAGUGAGCCGGCCUGGGAGUGAGCCGGCCUGGGAGUCUCGGACAGUUUUGCCCGUGGGAAGAAAUCUCACUGCUGUUUUCAUGGCAUUUGUCUAAUAAGGAUCACCAUUUUUAUGUAUGCCGUCUCUGCGCCGUUGCAGAUCAGCUGUUUAGAUUCCUUUCCAAGUUUUCUCUUAGUGGGCUUGUCUUUUAUUCUCUAUCAGCAAGAACUCCUUCAGUGUAUUUGUGGGAUAUCUUCCUUUUACUUGGGAGGUUUUAAAACAGAGAGAAGCAGAAACGAGAAUAUCAUAACGUAACACUAUUGUCAUAAUAAUGUUGCAAAUCACGUUCUCAGCUGUCUUUGUUAAAGUGUCUCGUGUCCAUUUCUUCUCCUGGAGGGUCACGUAUGUUGCCAGUGGGAGCGUGACAGGAGGGCCUCAUGUUUUCUGUCAUGGAGGUGUGUUGAUGGGGAUUCUUCAGGGAGACAGAACCAAGAGGCAGUGUGUGUGUGCGUGUGUGUGUGUGUGUGUGUGUGUCUGUACAGUGGCGCAUCUCUUACGAUGGGAAUAUAUUCUGAGAAAUGCGGUGUGAGGCGACUCUGUCGUGUGAACUGGUACUCAGAUCAAGACGGUGGCCUGCCACACACCCAGGCAAUAUGGUAGGUACAGGCUGCUGCUCCUGGGCUGCAAACCUGCACCGUGUGUACUGAGUAGGCGAUUGUGACACUAUAGAUUUAUCUAUCGAAACGUAGAAAAGGUAUAGAGUAUACGGUAAUGUAAUCUUUUUUGACAAGGAAUCUUGUUCUGCCGCCCAGGCUGUAGUGCAGUGGCACGAUCUCGGCUCCCUGCAACCUCCGCCUCCUGGGUUCAAGCUUUCCUUCCUGCCUCGGCCUCCUGCAUAGUUGGGACUACAGGCACCCACUACCACACCCAGAUAAUUUUUUUUUUUUAAGACAGAGUCUUGCUCUGUUGCCCAGGCUGGAGUGCAAUGGUGCAAUCUCGGCUCACUGCAACCUCUGCCUCCUGAGUUCAAGCGAUUCUCCCGCCUCAGCUCCUGAGUGGCUGGGACUGCAGGCGCACGCCGCCACACAUGGCUAAUUUUUUUGUAUUUUAGUAGUGAUGGGGUUUCAACAUGUUGCCCAGGCUGGUCUCAAACUCCUGAGCUCAGGCAAUCUGCCUGCCUCGGCCUCUCAAAGUGCUGGUAUUACAGGCGUGUGCCACCGCACCAGACCUAAUUUUUGUAUUUUUCAGUAGAGAUGGGGUUUUGCCAUUUCAGCUAGUCUGGCCUCAAACUCGUGACUUCAGGUGAUCUGCCCACCGUGGCCUCCCAAAGUACUGGGAUUACAAGCGUGAGCCACCACACCCGGUCAGUAUUAUAAUCUUUUUUUUUUUUUUUUUUUGAGACGGAGUUUUGCUCUUGUUACCCAGGCUGGAGUGCAAUGGUGCGAUCUCGGCCCACUGCAACCUCUGCCUUCUGGGUUCAGGCAAUUCUCCUGCCUCAGCCUCCUGAGUAGCUGGGAUUACAGGCACGCACCACUGUGCCCAGCUAAUUUUUUGUAUUUUUAGUAGAGACGGGGUUUCACCAUGUUGACCAGGAUGGUCUCGAUCUCUUGACCUCGUGAUCCACCCGUCUCAGCCUCCCUCUCUUGACCUCGUGAUCCACCCGUCUCAGCCUCCCCAGUAUUGUAAUCUUAUGGGACCGCCAUCAUACCUAAGGUUCACUGUGGACCUCAACAUCAUCAUUCAGCACGUGACUACUUGGAAAGAGAGAGAGAGGGCGAGAUUAACUGGCUCGUGGAACUGUGGGACCUUGCAGGGCAGGCCAGCAGCUGAAGACCCAGGAGGGAGCUGCUGGUGCAGCUCAAGUCUGAAGGCAUCCUGUGAGCAGAACGUCCUCUCCUGUGGGUGGUCUCAGUCCGCUUUCUCUUAAGGCUUCAACCGAUUGGACAAGCCCACCCACGUUACGGCAGGUGAUGUGCUUUACUCAGAGUCUACGGAUUUAAAUGUUAGGCACAUCUAACAAAUACCUUCACAUUCACAUCUAGACCGGCGUUUGACCAAGCAACUGGCAGCCGUGGCCUAGCCAAGGUGACUCAUAAAACUAGCCAUCGUAGGAGGCGUGACGGGCACACAACAACGCACGUAUCUAAAAUGGACAAUUCGGUAAGUUUUGAUGUAUGCACAUCCCAGUGGAAGCAUCACCACCAUGAAGACAGUGAACACAUCCGUGCCAUCACCUGCAGCCAUCCUUUGCCGUCUGUCAUUCCUCCAUCCCAGGAAACUAUGGACUCUGUCACUACACAUAGGUUAGAAUUUUCUAGAAGUUUGUAAACAAUGGAAUUAUCCAGUAUAUACUCCUUUUUUCUGGCUUCUGUGAUUCAGCGUACUGAUUCUGAGGCACAUCCAUGCGACUGCAUUUAUCCCAAAUAGUUCAUUCCUUUCCAUUGCCGAUACCGUACUAUCGUGGGGAUUUGCCAGGUGAACUCACCUGUGCUGGACACUGGGUUGUUCGCUGUGUAGACCAUUACAGAUAAAGCUGCUGUGGACGUUUGUGAACCAGGAUUUAUAAGACCACACACUUUCUUUUUUUGCGGGGGUACAGCAAGGGGUUGAAAAGGCUGGAUCAGAUGAUAGGCAUUCAUUUAACUUGUCAUGGAACCGCCACACUCCUUCACAGCCUGACCGCACCAUCUGACAUGUGCCCCGGCCCUGUGUGAGGGCUCCCGCUGCUGUGUAUUUCUGCCAUGUCCUGGCACGCUUGGUCUUUCUGACUAUACUUGUCUAAUGGGUAAGAGGUACUAUCUCAUAGGAUAUUAAUUUGUUUUCCUCUAAUGACUAAUGAUGUUAAGAAUUAUCUCGGCCGGGCGCGGUGGCUCACGCCUGUAAUCCCAGCACUUUGGGAGGCCGAGGCAGGUGGAUCACGAGGUCAAGAGAUCGAGACCAUCCUGGCCAACAAGGUGAAACCCCAUCUCUACUAAAAAUACAAGAAUUAGCUGAGCAUGGUGGCGCGUGCCUGUAAUCCCAGCUACUCAGGAGGCUGAGGCAGGAGAAUUGCCUGAACCCAGGAGGCGGAGGUUGCGGUGAGCCGAGAUCGCGCCAUUGCACUCCAGCCUGGGUAACAAAAGCGAAACUCCGUCUCAAAAAAAAAAAAAAAGAAUUAUUUCAUGUAUGUUUAUAUGCAUCUUCUGUGGUGAAGUACCCAGUUUUCAUUUUUCUUGAUUUCUGAGAUUUCUUUAUAUGUUCUAGACAUAAGUCCUUACGAGGCGUAUAAUUUCCAAAUAUUUUUCCCAGUCUGUGAUCUGUCACUUCAAUCUCCUAAUGAUGUCAUUUAAAGAGUGUGCGUUUUUAAUUUUCACAAAUUUCAGUUUAUCAGUUUCUUCUUCUAUGGACUGCAUCUUUUCGUGUCGUAUUUACAAAAUGUACACCUAGCCCAAGUUCGUGACAUUUUCAGGUUGUUUACUUCUGUAAGUCUCACGGUUGCAGGUUUUACGGUUAGAUCUGUGACUCCUUUCGAGCAAAUGGUUGUCAUGUUGUGAGUUGGAGACACAGGCUGGAUUUUUUGAAUGUGGAUUUUCAUUUGUCUUAGCAUAAUUGGUCAGAAAUAUUAUUCUUUCUCCACCAAAUUGAUUCCGCGUCUUUGUCAAUCAUCAGUUGCCAAUAGUUGCAUGUGUCUCUUUCUGAACUCUGCUCCUUGUUGGCGGUUUCAGAAAAUUGAUUGUCUUUGUGUAGUUUUCUUCAUGUUUCUUGUAUCUGGGAUUCUUUGAGUCUCUUGGAUCUGUGCAUUCAUAAUUGUCGUCAAAGUUGGAAAUAUUUCAGCCAUUAUUUCUUCAGUUUUUCUGUUUCCACCCCCAGUGACUCCCAGUACACACGAUCUGAAGUUAUAGCUUAACAAUGCACUGCUUAUUUUUAAGAUUUCCCUCUCUCUUUCCUUUUGAAUAGUUUAUGUUGUGAGAUCUUCAAAUCCAUUAACCUUUACUUCUGCAGUUUAUAAUCUACCAUUAAUCCCAAGAGUGUAGUUUUCAGCUCAGACACUAUGCUUUUUAUUUCUAAAAUUUCAAUUUAUGUCUUUUUAGAUGUUGCAUGUCUCUACUUGGCUUUGUGAAUAUAUGGAUUACUGUUUCCAUAACUUUAAAGAUGCCUUUUGCUGCUAAUUCUAACAUCUUGUGUCAGUCCUGGGUUGGCCUCAGUUGAUUGAUUUAUGUUUUCGAGUGCUGAAAUUUCCUGCUUUAUGGCAUUCUUGGUGAUUUUUGAUUGGGCCUCAGACAACGUGAGUUUUGCUUGUCGAAUGCUGGGCAUUUAAAAUUUUUUGUUAAUAUUCUUGGGUCAUGUUCUUGGUUGCAGUUAAUUCAUUUGGGAGCAGUUUGAUGGUUUGGGGUCUUACUUUUUGAGAUGUUCGCGGGGAGCAGAGCAGUAUGGAGCAUAGGGCUCAUUCUUCCCCGAAUUCUGGAUGCUCUACCCAUGGCCUCAUGAACUUCCACUUCUUAUCUUCUCAUUAACGGGCACAGGCACAAUUCCUGGCCCUGUGUUCACAAGUGGGACGAAUACACCGAAUUCUUCUGGGUGGUUCUUUCUCUGGCCUGGGGUGGUUGGUUGUGUGCACCGAGGAGUUCUCACUCGAAUGCUUGAAGACGGUCCCAUGCAGGACUCCACAUUCUUCUCUCUGGAUAGAUUUCACUUAUGAGGUAUGCUGUAGAUGAAUGCUAGGCCUCUUUGCCUCUUUGCACAGAGUCCAGCAGGCCCUUCCUAGCUUCCUUCUCCCUGCCCUGAAGCCUGGGGCCUCUUUCCAGGCAGUCAUCUGGGGCACCUGGGGCCUCUUUCCAGGAAGUGAGCUCCCCGACCCGAAACCUGGGGCCUCUUUCCAGGAAGUGAGUUCCCCGCCCUGAAACCUGGGGCCUCUUUCCAGGAAGUGAGCUCCCCGCCCCGAAACCUGGGGCCUCUUUCCAGGAAGUGAGUUCCCCGUCUGGAAACCUGGGGCCUCUUUCCAGGCAGUCAUCUGGGGCACCUGGGGCCUCUUUCCAGGAAGUGAGCUCCCCGCCCUGAAACCUGGGGCCUCUUUCCAGGCAGUCAUCGGGGCAGCCUGGCUUCUUCCCGUCUUUCAGGAAUCACUGUCCUCCAUCGCCUGAUGUUCAGCAUCUUUGAAACCAUCGUUUCAGGUAUUUGGUCCAUUUUUUUUGGUCGUUUUAGGUGGGAGGGAAUAUUCAGUCGCUUCUAUUUCGUCAGUUUUGGAAGCAAUAAUUUUGGUAUUUUUUAUAAUAAAAAAUGUUUUACCCUGUGAAAUAUGAGAUAAAAUAGUCAUACCUUCAGUUCCUUGGAAUUCAAAGGAUGGAGCAGAGCUGAGUGCCAUCCCCUGCGAGGGGCCACAGCCCCCAUCCUCAGUGUCUUCCCAGGGCUAAGGACAGUCCUCAUGGGUGUGACAGGUCCCUCCACAAGGAGCAUUGGAAGUGCAUGUGGCAUUGUCUGCUCAGCUUCAGAGCAGGAGAUGCUGGCUGGUUCCAGAUGGAUGGGCAGGCAUUCCUGCGGCAGGCAGGGAGGGGGAGGCGGGGGAGG